AUAGUUUCUUGGCCUUUUGGCUAAGAUCAGGUGCAUUAUCUGUUCUUAUCAGUUUAAUAUCAGAAGUUGCUCUAUCCGAGGACAAAAUAUUAAAUUGAUCUUUGGAACAGGGGUAUGAAAUUGGAGCUAGUUCUGUCCACUCCACAAAUUGACCUGUGCAUCUUCCCCCGGGGAGCAAUUCCCCCUCU
Small nuclear RNA from Tachyglossus aculeatus (Australian echidna), 188 nucleotides. RefSeq annotates it as U2 spliceosomal RNA. The record is from RefSeq and is a predicted model, not a curated record. Lineage: Eukaryota; Metazoa; Chordata; Mammalia; Monotremata; Tachyglossidae. The transcript has a single exon.